This 241-nucleotide ribosomal RNA is filed under the name uncultured Actinomycetales bacterium. Its description in RNAcentral is "partial 16S ribosomal RNA". It matches the Rfam family "Bacterial small subunit ribosomal RNA", at positions 89 to 334 of the family's 1533-position model. The record is from RNAcentral. Lineage: Bacteria; Bacillati; Actinomycetota; Actinomycetes; Actinomycetales.
ACUCGAGUGGCGAACGGGUGAGUAACACGUGGGUGAUCUGCCCUGCACUUCGGGGUAAGCCUGGGAAACUGGGUCUAAUACCGGAUAGGACGAUGGUUUGGAUGCCAUUGUGGAAAGUUUUUCGGUGUGGGAUGAGCUCGCGGCCUAUCAGCUUGUUGGUGGGGUAAUGGCCUACCAAGGCGUCGACGGGUAGCCGGCCUGAGAGGGUGUACGGCCACAUUGGGACUGAGAUACGGCCCAG